UACGUAGGGGGCAAGCGUUAUCCGGGUUCACUGGGUGUAAAGGGAGCGUAGACGGCCAUGCAAGCCUGGAGUGAAAGCCCGGGGCCCAACCCCGGGACUGCUCUGGGAACUGUGCGGCUGGAGUGCGGGAGGGGCAGGCGGAAUUCCUGGUGUAGCGGUGAAAUGCGUAGAUAUCAGGAGGAACACCGGCGGCGAAGGCGGCCUGCUGGACCGCGACUGACGUUGAGGCUCGAAAGCGUGGGGAGCAAACAGG
This 253-nucleotide ribosomal RNA is filed under the name uncultured bacterium. RNAcentral's name for it is "partial 16S ribosomal RNA". It matches the Rfam family "Bacterial small subunit ribosomal RNA", at positions 524 to 776 of the family's 1533-position model. The record is from RNAcentral.